GUUAGAGCUCCCGGGGCUCCAGCAGACCGAUUUAGCUCCGUUGGGGAGGGAAGUGGCAAGGAAGAAGAGAGGAAAAGUGGGGGGAGGUGAGGGGCAGGGGAGAGGGCGCCGAGCGGAGCCACCUUGCACAGCGCCAACUCCAGCUUUAAUGACUCCAUUUGUGGAAGCUGUUUAGGAAACUGGUGAGGAGGAGGAGAAGGCCAGCAAAUGCGCCAGCUCAGGCCUGGGUGGCAACCUCCUCAUGCCCUAAGGUCUCAGUGGGCUACAAGUCGUCUUUGAUCCAGCUCUCAGGUUCAAAAGACGAUAUUGUAAUAGAGAGGCCCAGCGAGUCUCCAGUACUGUCCUUCCAGGAUCACUAACUUUGUUCGCCAUGGACUUGGGAUGGAAAGGAUCCAGUUUGCCUCAUGCUCACCUCCAAAGCCCUGGGCAGCCUACAACCCUGGGAAGCAACCUCUGGCUCAGAGAAGGGGAGUUGGAAGGCCAAGCUUAUCUCAGGCAAAGCCAGGAAGGGCACCUUCAGUCCAGGACAAACUCCACGGUCACAUGGGCUGUGGAAGGCUUGGGAUCCCAAAACGUAAGGACAUUAUGCAUAUGUGGGAUGCAGUUAUACAAAUGGGUGCAGAGCCCUACAAUACCAUUCAGCCGCUGCAGCCCAAGAGAGCUUGGUUUGCAACCGUCUUUUCUUUUCCUGGUCAGGGAAGUUGCUAAGAGGUCAGGGUGGGGGUUUGGAACUAACUUUGACCCCUAGCCAGGUUUCAGGAAGUUACUCCAGACCUCUGUCCUGCCUGCAUAUCGCUCCUGGUUUGCAAAUGGACACAUUUCCCCAUCCUGCUACAAAUCUCAGUCUAACCUGGCUACCAAAGCAACCACCAACCACAUCUUCAGCAGCCUGAGGUGGUGCUUCAGUCUGAAGACACUCGCCCUCCUCCUCCUUCCCUAGCACCAGACUGAAGUUUAUGAGGAUGGAGUUCAAGUCCUGACUCCUACCGGAGUCCCAGUGACCUUGGGAAAGUGGAAAAGCCUGUCUCAAAGUUUCAGCAGUUAGAUAAAUGGAUUAGAAACCGGGGAAUUGUUUGGUCCCACAGAAUCCCCUGUUGGGGAGCGGGGAGGAGACAGAUCUGGAGGAGAGAGAUUACAGAGAAAUUCCUCCCCUGCAGUAGCAGUUUCAUGUUAAUGAGAAAGCCCAUUAAGAUACUUGAUUUUCCAUUUAAGUGAGAUGGGUGCUUGCUAUAGUGUUGGGAGAGAUGAAGACAAGUCACCACACAGCACAGGAGGACGCACACCACGCAGAGAUGGCAGGAAAACACUGAUUUUAAUUGCACCUUUAAAAGAAAAAGAAGUAUUAUGAUACCUCCGUUCCUUCUCCAUGGUCCCAGCCAGAGACCAAGGAAGGACUCAUUAAAAGCUCUAGGAAGCACUGAGUGGGGAAACCGAGCGAUCCCCAGGGCCAGCCAGAGCUUUUGAAGGGGCUCCCCUGGCCAGUCACUUCCUGACAUCUUUUAGGGGUCUGGGGUUUUAUGGUUCUAGUUUUGAUUUCUCUACCAUCAAACUUUUAGCUUAAAAAAAUUCU
This is a long non-coding RNA of Cavia porcellus (domestic guinea pig), 1570 nucleotides long. RefSeq lists it as uncharacterized. Lineage: Eukaryota; Metazoa; Chordata; Mammalia; Rodentia; Caviidae. The record is from RefSeq and is a predicted model, not a curated record. The transcript is spliced from 3 exons.